This 1020-nucleotide ribosomal RNA is filed under the name uncultured organism. RNAcentral's name for it is "bacterial SSU rRNA". It matches the Rfam family "Bacterial small subunit ribosomal RNA", at positions 98 to 1154 of the family's 1533-position model. The record is from RNAcentral.
GCAGACGGGUGAGUAAUGCAUAGGAAUCUACCUAGUAGUGGGGAAUAGCCUCGAGAAAUCGGGGGUAAUACCGCAUGUUUCCUAAUAGUUUUUCUAUUAGGACAAAGUCUUCGGACGCUAUUAGAGGAGCCUAUGUGCUAUCAGCUUGUUGGUAGGGUAAUGGCCUACCAAGGCAAUGACGGCUAGCCGGUGUGAGAGCACGACCGGCCACAAGGCUACUGAGACACGGAGCCUACACCUACGGGUGGCAGCAACCGGGAAUAUUGCGCAAUGGACGAAAGUCUGACGCAGCGACACCGCGUGUAGGAAGAAGCUCUUCGGAGUGUAAACUACUGUGGCGGGGGAUGAUAAUGACAGUACCCCGCUAGAAAGCACCAGCCAACUACGUGCCAGAAGCUUCGGUAAUACGUAGGGUGCAAGCGUUAUCCGGAUUCACUGGGCGUAAAGCGUACCGUCGGCGACUUGAUAAGUUUUCUGUCUAAAGCCUGAGGCUCAACUUCAGAAAGGCAGAAAAAACUAUUAAGAUUGAGGAUGUAUGGGGAAGCUGGAAUUCUCGGUGGAGGGGUGAAAUCCGUGGAUAUCGAGAGGAACGCCAUACGCGAAGGCAAGCUUCUAAAACAUUCCUGACGCUCAUGGACGAAAAGCUUGGGUAGCAAAAGGGAUUAGAGACCCCUGUAGUCCAAGCCGUAAACGUUCCUUGCUAGUUGUCCCUGCUUUAAGUGGGGGUGACGUAAGCUAACGCGUUAAGCAAGGCGCCUGGGGAGUACGACCGCAAGGUUAAAACUCAAAGGAAUUGACGGGGGAGCGCACAACCGGUGGAGCAUGUGGUUUAAUUCGAUACGAAGCGAAAAACCUUACCUGGACUUGACAUCCCACCUAUGUUUCUUACAAAAAUUUGAAACUUAGUGGUGGUGACAGGUGAUGCAUGGCUGUCGUCAGCUCGUGUCGUGAGACGUCCGCUUAAGUGCGGCAACGAGCGCAACCCUUAUCUUCAGUUAUAAGUAUCUGAAGAAACUGCCC